GACGAACGCUGGCGGCGUGCUUAACACAUGCAAGCCGAACGGUGAAGCGCCUACCAUUUUGGUGGCUGUGGAUGAGUGGCGAUCGGUUGAGUAUCACGAGACUAACCGGCCCCCUUCGACUGGACAACCGCAUGGAAAUGUGGCCAACACGAGACCUUCUGGAUCUGUCGCAUGAUGGUUCAGGGAAAGGUAUUCGUUCGUGGGGGGACGGGCGAGCGGCUUAUUAGCUUGUUGGUGGGGUGGUGGACUACCAAGGCGGUGGUGGGUAGCCGGCCUGAGCGGGUGGACGGUCACACUGGGGCUGAGGCACGGCCGAGACUCCUACGAGAGGCAGCAGUAGGGAAUAUUGCACAAUGGGCGUAAGACUGAUGCAGCGACGCCGCGUGAGGGAUGGAGGCGUUCGGGUUGUGAACCUCUUUCGCCAGUGAGGCAGGCCUGCCUCGUUUGUGGGUGGGUUGACGGUAGCUGGAGAAGAAGCGCCGGCUAACUACGUG
Molecule: ribosomal RNA, 494 nt
Filed under: uncultured bacterium
Lineage: Bacteria
Description: partial 16S ribosomal RNA
Rfam family: Bacterial small subunit ribosomal RNA
Source: RNAcentral